This 497-nucleotide ribosomal RNA is filed under the name uncultured bacterium. RNAcentral's name for it is "partial 16S ribosomal RNA". It matches the Rfam family "Bacterial small subunit ribosomal RNA", at positions 28 to 507 of the family's 1533-position model. The record is from RNAcentral.
GAUGAACGCUGGCGGCGUGCCUAAUACAUGCAAGUCGAGCGAACAGACGCGGAGCUUGCUCCUCUGACGUUAGCGGCGGACGGGUGAGUAACACGUGGAUAACCUACCUAUCAGACUGGGAUAACUUCGGGAAACCGGAGCUAAUACCGGAUAAUAUCUUGAACCGCAUGGUUCAAUAGUGAAAUACGGUUUUGCUGUCACUUCUAGAUGGAUCCGCGCCGCAUUAGCUAGUUGGUAGGGUAACGGCUUACCAAGGCAACGAUGCGUAGCCGACCUGUGAGGGGGGUCGGCCGCCCGGGAGCGGGGCCGCGGUCCAGGGGACUACGGGAGGCAGCAGAAGGGUACCGGCCGCAGCGGUCGAGAGCCUGGCGGAGUAGCGGCGAGUGAGAUGUGGAGGCGCCCGGUGCGGGAUGCUCGGUUAUGGGUUGAGAACAAAUGUGUAAGUAACUAUGCACGGCGUGACGGUACCUGAUCAGGAAGCCACGGCUAACUACGUG